GACGAACGCUGGCGGCGUGCCUAACACAUGCAAGUCGAGCGGGGAUAUAUGCUGGAGCGCUUCGGUGUGAAGGGAUAUAUCCUAGCGGCGGACGGGUGAGUAACGCGUGGGGAACCUGCCCUUAAGUUCGGGAUACCAACUCGAAAGGGUUGUUAAUACCGGAUGUGCUGCAUUAGCCGCAUGGCGGAUGUAGUAAAGGGGAGACUCGCUUAAGGAUGGCCCUGCGUUCCAUUAGCUAGUUGGUGGGGUAACGGCCUACCAAGGCGACGAUGGAUAGCCGGCCUGAGAGGGCGACCGGCCACACUGGGACUGAGACACGGCCAGACUCCUACGGGGGGCAGCAGUGGGGAAUCUUGCACAAUGGGCGGAAGCCUGAUGCAGCGACGCCGCGUGAGGGACGAAGGUCUUCGGAUCGUAAACCUCUGUCCAAAGGGACGAAGGAGUGACGGUACCUUUGGAGGAAGCCCCGGCAACUACGUGCCAGCAGCCGCGGUAAGACGUAGGGGGCGAGCGUUGUCCGGAAUCAUUGGGCGUAAAGGGCGC
Molecule: ribosomal RNA, 543 nt
Filed under: uncultured bacterium
Lineage: Bacteria
Description: bacterial SSU rRNA
Rfam family: Bacterial small subunit ribosomal RNA
Source: RNAcentral